This is a long non-coding RNA of Podarcis raffonei (Aeolian wall lizard), 9426 nucleotides long. RefSeq lists it as uncharacterized. The record is from RefSeq and is a predicted model, not a curated record. The transcript has 2 exons. Lineage: Eukaryota; Metazoa; Chordata; Lepidosauria; Squamata; Lacertidae.
CCACAUUUUAAGAAGGGUGUUGACAAGCUGGAAGGUGUGCAGAGGAGGGCGACCAAGAUGGUCAAGGGUCUGGAAACCAAGCCUGAUGAGGAACAGUUGAAGGAGCUGGAAUCUGCUAAAACAGAAGGGAGAGGUCAGCUGUUACCAAUAAGGAAGGAAAUAUUCCUUCGAGAAGCUUCUCCCGAAAUGGAAGGCACACAAGACUCUGUAAUUCUCUUCUUUGGGAGGUGGCUGUCGUGUGGGUGGCCUUAGGAAGCUGAAUGCGAAGGAGGCAGGUCCCAGCCCUUUGGAUUGCAGCAAGGACAACCUGGGAGCAUCUCUCACCUGCUGUGCUUGUACCUCCUCACUCUCCCAUUCGCUACCUCUGCACCAAGCCAAGAACAAAGACCAACAUCUCGUCCUUUGAGCCCCAUGUUGGGCAAAAGAUUCCUGCAGGGCGUUGGACUCAAAGACCCUCAUGGUCCCUUCUAACUCUACAAUUCUAUGAUUCUGUGAUCUAAGGGCAUUGCUUUCAAGUGAACACAUCAUUCUCAGUGCCCUGAAACACAUUUAAAAGGCAUUCAAAGGUUUUUAUAAAAAUAAUCUUUAUAAAAAAUAAUAAUUUAUUAGUUUUCCAAUUGAAAUUGUUAUAUGAUCUCAACAAUCAAGCAGAAACCACCUAAAAUGGCAUGAGACAUAAAGUCUUCCUGUUCCUGAGAGAUUUGAAGCUGUUAAAAGGGACCAAAUAGGGAAAUCUUUUCAAUUCCUAAGAGGCAGUGAGUUGAGGGAGGCCAGGGCCACAUCCACACCAUUCGUUUAAAGUGCCGUGAAGCACUUUAAACACUCAUGGCUUCUUACCCCAAAGAAUUCUGGGAGCUAUAGUUUGAAAAGGGCGCCCAGAGUUGUUAGGAGACCCCUCUGUUCCCCUCCCAGAGCUACAACUUCCUGAGUGGUUUAAUCACCCAUCCUUUCCAGGGAAUUCUGGGAAUUGUAGCUCUGGGAGGGGAACAGGGGGGUCUCUUAACAACUCUCAGUCUCUUUAACCACCUACAGUUCCCAGAAUUCAUGGGGGAAAGCUAUGCCUGUUUAAAGCGUCACAGCAUUUCCAAUGAACGGUGCAAAUGUGGCCUAAUGUUUCCUCCCCUCAUUUUUGUCAAACUGCUUGUCUUGCACCUGCAUUAUGGUAUAUAAGCUUCCAUGAACCACAGCUCGUUUCAUCAGAUUGAUGAUGUGAUCUCCUGAAACUCACAGCCACAGUGGGGAAUGCAGAGGAGAAGAACAGACUCCAUCACUUGCAAUCCAGCAGAUGUCUGCCUGCAGUCUCCCUUCAAAGCUCCUUCCCUUGGUUAUGGCCACGGCCUUGUCCAUUGCUCACUGUCAGUAUUUCACGUUCAUUUCACCAAUGCAAAUAGGGACAUUCUGCGGUUCUCUUCAUGACUUUCAUGGCUGGUCUCGUGGAAAAGCUUGCCAACUCCAGACAUCCCUGAAAGGCAAAGGCAAACAGAUGAGUGGGAUGGCCACCAUCUGACAGCAUCCACCCAGACACCUCCACUGGUUUCUGCCUGCCUAGGGCAUCCACUGACAUCAUUUAAAUGCAAAUGCACACACCCAGCUUCCGCCUACGGACAUUCACCCGCUAUCGUUGGGCAACUUCCCUCCUCUGUUUGGCUGCCUAUUAACAAACAAGGCUUCCAAACCAGUUUGCAUCCAUUUCAGCCAGCGUAGCCUUGCGACAUCCACUAGCCUGAAUGCAAACUCUUCCGGCAACCAUUCACCACUUGCAGCCUCGCCAGGUCCAUUGCCAGACGACCGCCUGCUUCAGAGCUGAAUAUCAGCUGCCUUCAAGUAGCAAUCCCACUAGCAAGUAAACUUUGAACUUGCCUUCUCCUUGCUCCACAGCAUUUCAGCGCUGGGUGAUUGCCUCCUUUCGCCUGCCAGCUUGCUGCCAUGGGGCAGGAGACCACUAGAGCUGAGUGCCACCGCUGCUGCCUAUUUCUCUCUGGGGAGGGCAGCUGCCUUGCCUUUUGCCUUGGCCAACAUUUAUACCCACUCAGCUGCCUUUUUUUUUUUUUGUGACAUCACAGUCAACAAUGGUAGCAGCUGGGGAAGCAUCACCAUCACCCCCUCAGCCCUCACAAUGGUGGGUGUAGCUCAGCAACCAUUGGCUCCUUGGUCUAUUACCAAGGAGAUAUAUAGCCAAAAUCAGGUGGAGAAGGAAGAGCAACUGAAGAGGGAACACCAUUCACAGUACAUGGGACAGGAAGCCACCGGUCUUGGGAGCAGCUGGGCUGGUGCCACCCCUGACCUCUCUAAUAUUAGUGCCACUCUCAAGUCUCCAAGGUGUUCCUUCCACCAGCCUUGUUUUUAGAUGUGCAAGGUUUCUCUGAUCGCUGAGGACAGCCUCCCGAUUCCAGUUCAGCCACAUCCUGCAGAAAUGCACUUGUGUCCAGCUUUCCAUGUGAGACCUUUAAAUUACUUGAGACUCCAGAAGCCGCUUCAGUUUCUUCCCAGUAACAUGGACCUUCUCGUGAGCUUCAACAUAAUCUCCUCCACCAGAUUUGAUGAGCAAGUGAGUGGAAAUCUCCCACAGUGUUGACUUGUGGCUACCAUUCCAGAAGCUCUUUCUCCAGUUGCAUUAAUUCUCUUUGGCUCCUGAAUUGCGUGAGGACCAGCAUUUCUUUAUCCCAGCUUUUUUCUCCAAGGAUCUUGAGCUGGUAUACGUUGCAGCAAAAACAAUGAACACAGCUAUCUUGCCUACCAGAGAAGAGACUAAAGGAGCACGCUUCUGGAUGUUGUUGCUUAUGGUAAGGUUUAAGAAUGUAUGAAUAGCAGUUUGCAGACAGUGAUCCAGGGGAUCCUGGGAGACAUCACACAUUGCCUGUGAGAUUAGGAUAGUAGAUGCAAUUGAAAGGCACUUUGUUUUCUGGAUCUGCCACCUCUACAGUGGCUUGUUGGUGAAUUGGAGGCACCCUCUCACCCUUAUUCCUGAUGCGGAACUUCACUCACCUCUUCUUCCCUGACAGAGGAAGUGCCAUUUUGUGGUUUGCCUCAGGUGCCAAAGUGUCUUGAGCUGACCCUGCCAGCAGCCAUAAGGCCCAACCAGUCUGGCAAGUGCUCUGUGUUAACAGUAUGUGUACUCUGUAGAACAUUUAAAAAUUGUAGAGCCUUUUUGGCAGAAGAAGCAGGUUCAGAUGCUUUGAGUAAAUUCAGUGCUUUUUUCCUGGGGGAAUGCAGGGGUAUGCAUACCCCUAAACAUGUUGUGAAUCUUAGUUUGGCCUCAUUGAAGGGCAGUAUUUCAAUAUGAGUUGGAAAAUAAGAAUACCCCUAAACAUUUUUAAGGAAGAAAGCACUGAAUAAAAUAACCCACUGCAGCACAAAGGGGUUCCAAGGCAGAUGCUCUGUGACUUCUCUUUAAGAAGGUCAAUAUGCAAAGUUCUUUAAAUUCCUUCAUCAGACUGAAUGGGGAUGAGGGGAAAGCUGGCAUGGUGUGAAAGUCACAAAGUGUGCAGUUGUAAUAGUUUAAAGCAGAGUCCUGGAGGAGACUUGCAAGCUAAUGAAUUAUUUAUUAUUCAUUGGAUUUAUAUACCGCCCUAUACCGGGAGGUCUCAGGGCAGUUCACAGAAUAAAAUCAAAAUAUAAAACCACAAAAUACAUAAUCAAAAUAAAAACACCAACCCGAUAACCACCCAGGUUAUUGUCAGGCUGCAACCCUAAUCCUAGUUACAUGGGAAUAAGCUCCAUAGAAUUCAAUGUGGCUUACUUCUGAGGAGCCAUGGUCAGCAAAUAGCCAUGGCACAUGCCCUGAUCGGGGGGAAAUAGGGAAGUUGUCCCUACAAAUCACCAGCACAAAACAUUUGUAAUUUAUUGUUUAUUUUAAUAUACAAAAAAAGAUAAAUUUGAAAUAGUUCUUUCUAGGUUUUUUCCUCCUAUUUGUUGGAGCGGAGCUGCUUCACACAGGGCAAAAAUACUACAUUCAUACUGGUUUAUUCGGGCACCCUGAACUUAGCUGAAGCAGCAAUACCCAAACUUGGCAGACCUAAUUUCAAACAAGAGACUCGUUUCUAAAAUACCACAGUAAAAAGGAACAAAGAUCCAUUGCAAAUUUAUGAAUUAUGAUACAAUGUUUCAAAACAUUUCCAUUUCAUAACUGCAUACAGCGGAUGUCUUCUUUAGGCCAUCUUACAUAUGUAUAUCUAUAUUUAUUUAUUUAUAUAUAUAAUAUAUAUAAAAAAUCAGCACAAUCCAAAAGGGGUUACAGCAAUGAGCUCAACUCUCUGUAUACUUUUUUGUGUGUUUGUGUGUGGAUACUUUAAUAUAAAUUUUGUUAAGUCAGUAGUACAAGCUAUCUCUGGUCUACUUUUUUAAAAUUUUAAGCUACAAGAGUGAAAUAUAACCUACAACAUUUACGUUUCACGUAUCUUGGUAUACAAACAGUACAUUGGAAUUUGAGCCAGGACCAAUAGUCAUUUUCAUUAUUUCACCAUCUGGUAGAGCUUUCUGCAUUUAUCAAUUUCCUAAACUAGUUACUUAAUUCUCAUUUCUGAAGUUUGCCAAGAAUUCAAAUUGGAAAUCCUGCGGGAACAGGUUACUGCAAACUCCUCUGUAGGCCUUCUAUGUACAAGUUAAGUAACACAGCUUAAUAAGACAUAACUAUUCAUCAUAAAACUGAUACACACAUCUCACUAUGCUAGACUAGUUUUAGGACUUUAUUUCCUUGAAUAAAGCAUACCAUUUAGAAGUAGUUGAUAAAAGGAACAAUGGUUUUAAAAAAACAACAAAGAGUGUAUUUCAAUUUUUUGUGCCCUCUCCCUUCCGAAUUUUGUUCUAUCCUGUGACAUUUACUAUAAGCAUCUAAUGGUAUAAACAAUGCAGAAAGCUCUUUCCACAAGAACUGACAAACUGUACUUAAGUCAACUUUACAGUAGGAAAUUCACCAAACUUAAGGACAAAAUGUGACAAGUAUUCACAGGUGAAAGACUGUAGGCUUCAGUUCUGAUAUUCAAAUGGUGGUAGAUUGGCAAGAGGAAUGCCCUGGCUUUGUGCAAAUGUAGGGGCAUAGAACUGGAGACCGAGAAGCAUGUUUUAAAAUCCACAGUAACCACCUUUUUGCGGUAUCAGCAAGUAUCACUAUAUGACAAAACUUUUAAACUUCAUAGGAAGUUUCGGAGGGGACAGGUAGUUCAGUCUUCCUUCCCCCUGUAACCACUAAAAGCUUCACAAAUGUUUGACACUGAUAAUUUCGAAAGGCGUUGCGGAGGCAAAAAAAAAUUCUCUCCAACCUGCCGCGAAUUUCAAUUUUGAUAGGAAGGUCUCUCUUAUAUUGGUAAAACAGCAUGUGUCUCAAUGACCAGGAAUAAAAAUUGUAAGACUGAACAGAUUAUUAUUAUUAAAAAACCCCGAACCAUUCGCCCUCCCCCCCCCUCCCAAAAAACCAAGAUCAGUGAAAAUAAUGCUAUAGAUUUCCAUUCCAAAUUGUAGUGCUGUUAUUUGGAGAAGAUCAGUCUCUACUAAAGGGCUCAAUAUGGAUCGCCCCAUGCUCUGUCCAAGUUGUACCCCUUUGGAACUUCAUGUGCAGGAUCAUGCUAACCAGUGGCACCUAUCCGCCAUGUCAGAUGUUCCAAGUAACUUUGACCAGAUAACCAGGAAAUAUCUCCCAAUAAAACACUGAACACAGUAGAAAUCAAGGAAAGGAAGCACUUGUUCAUAACGCCCUCUUGCUGUACAUACAUCCAACACAAUUAGAGCUUGACAACAAAAAAAAGCCCUUUUGGUUUAACUGGGAGUGGGGAAAGGAACCACAAGCUUAAAAAAUGAAAUGUAAGCUGCAAUCCUUAGGGAUCCAUUUCCAUUUUUUCCUUUCUGCAUAUAAAUUAUAUAAAAUAUAUAACUUAUAUAACACUUGUGUGUAGCAUGGUUCCUUGUCUGCAUAUGUUACAAUCUUGCAGUACAAAGAAGAUUCCAGAAAGCAACACUGUUAUAAUGUGAAGUUUGAGGUAACUGGUUCUUGAAAUACCUGGAUCACAGAUUGCAUCCAGAAACAACAAUUGGAUAAUGAAAAGCAGUUUCUCUUCCCCCCUCCCUGUAACAUCCUGAUGGCGGGGGGAGGAAUUAAAAAGAACUUACAGCAGUUGCUUUGCAUGAAAAUAAAUGAAGGCACAAAGAAAAAGCUUUAGACUUCGGAAAUGAAGAGCUAAAAAUAAUGUUGCCACAGUUGUGUCCUAAUACAAAAGGAAGAACUCUGUCCAAAAUCAGUUUUUUUAAUUAAAAAGGGGAGGGGGAGUGUAAGAAACAGAACAUACUGACCAAGUUUUUAGACAAUGAAUUGGAAACGUUUAAUGUGUGUAAAUGACAGAUCAAUGGAUCCUAAAUUUGACUACCGAGUGAAGGGCCUAUUCAUUGUUAAAGUCUCGCAGCAGCCUGAGCACCCGAAGUAUGUAGAAGGAGGCUUCUGAAAACACAUUCACAAUUUGUAUUUUAGAACAUGACACUCUGUGGUUUAAGCACUUUGCUGAGCUGCAAUAGGAAGUUCAGCACCAAGAAGACUGCAAGGGGUAAGCUGUCAGUCAUAAAAAUGGCACAUGAAACUCAUUUUUCAUCAUGGUAAUAGGCAACAGGAAAACCUUGUGUCGCCCAAUCCCUGCUGCUUUCCAAGCCAGCCAACAAUCUGAUAGAAAAGGAUCAUGUGAUUGACCUUUCUGUGUGUGGGCUCUUUGCUAGCCAGAUACUAGAUUAGCUUCCAAGCUGCUCUGGGCCCUCAAAGUAAUCUAAGAUUUUGAGCAAGGAUAUCAGUCUCACCCUGAAAUUCCAAGCUUAAAUAGAAGAUGCUUGGUUCAACAACUUCAGGUAUCCAGAGUCAUGAAAUCAGCAUACUUCGAGUGAAAAAAUGAGGGCUAUUCUAUCUCAGCCAUGUUGUCUAAGUAAUCAAUCUUUUGAUGAAGAAUUUAAAAGCACCUGGUGUGUGCACAUGCUCUAUGUCUCCUCAAAAAUUCUUCCCUUCUCUUUUUAGGGUUAACCACUGUGUGUAGCAUGUCAAUUAAGGCUAGUCAAGGUUAGCUUUAAACUGGGUUUGCCAAUAAGCUUUAAACCUCGGUUGCAAAUUCUGUUUUCCAGCUAACCAUUGUUAGCGUUAACAAAACACUAUACAGUACUAUACUGAAAAGGGAAGGAACAAUGGAAUUUGUGGAGGAAAGAACAUGUGCCUGUAGGGUGCCCUUGAUCUCAUACCCAUGGUUACUGGUUUGUGAAGUGUUGACUUUGCAUUGGGAUGCUGAGGAAGCAAAAGGCAUUUUAGCUCUUUUGAAACUCUUGUUAGUUCACCAUCUCUUUACAGUACUAUGGGAAACUUGCCAGCGCCCCAUUACUACUGUCAAAAAAUGAAACAGAAAGCUCCUUUACAUUGCCCAUUGCUUUAGUUACGGAAAGCAAAAGGCUAACUUUUAUAACCCAGAGAAAUUUGAUUUGCAAAUAUUAAUCAGUGCAUUUCAGCAAGAUGGGAAGAACUACCAAGAGCCCAUUAACAAAGGAAUGCUGACAGAAACAUCUCUUUACAGAUCAUAUUGUCAAUGCGGUACAUAUAGUCACUAUAAACAGAACUGCUGGCAUGUUAUGGAGCAGAAAUCUGAUUUACCAUGGUUUUCAUAAAUGCUUAAUAGAUAAGGCCGCACAAAUUAUCACAAAAUGCAUCAAAAUGUGUGUUUCCAUAAGGAAUUUAUAUGAAGGCUACACAAAUAUUUUUGUUGUUGUACUGGUGGUGGUAGAAUCUUAAGGAGGCCAUGAAAAACAGUCAAAAGUGUGGGGUUUUGUUUCUGUUUUCGCAAAAGGGAUUAUAUACAAGAGGAAUACAUAGUGAAGUCUACAAAGUAAGUUGGCAAUUCAUGAAUUCAGGCCGCCUUUUCUCUAGCUAGUUUUAAAUCUGGCUUCUUUUUUGCUGUGGCUGCACAGGAUUUUUGUUUUCCAUUUUCCUUGCAGAAACGUAUUGGGCAAUACUCGAUGUUAGCCAUACUCAAGAGCACACUACUGAAACAGACUUAAGUCCAUUAAUUUCAUUGAGUCUACUCUGAUUAAUGCUGAAUGUCAUCUAUUAUGUUUUACAAAAUAAUUUGUGGUACGAAAUAAUUUUUUCAGACACAGUGCAGUUUUCAUUCUUCAGGUGUGUAUGUGUGUAUUCAAAGGUCACUUCCCCUCUAUACAGUAUAAACAUUUUAAAAUAGCAUAUUAAGAUAAUCAAGAAGCAAAACUCAUAGUGCUGUACGUUUGUUUCUUAACUCUAAAAACAUUAGUAGGACAAUACUUCAACAGCAUUAUGAUCGUGCUUUUAUAUUGCAUGAACACCCUUUAGAAAAUUUGGAUUUCUCACCUUUAUUAAAAGCCCACAGCACCUGCUGUAGCAUAUUACAAUUGCUACCACAGGCAGAAAAAUCAACAAGUGUUCUGCUAUUCUAAACCAGAAAGAAGUACUGUACUUGUUUUGCUUUAUAGCUGCCACUUUUGAAAAAAGACAUCACUUUCAUAUUAACAAAUUUCAAAAGGGAACAAAGAAAACACUGUUUUAAAUUCUUAAAUUAGCAUAAACAAGCACUUAUCAAGGAGUGACAUUUAGAAGCCCAGCAUAAUAGCCAUGUUUUAAAAUAUAAGCAUAGUUAAGAUUACUUUAAUGCACUGUGGGCUGACAAUACAGUGCUAAUGCUGCAAAGAUCUAGAUUACGGGUGUAAACAAUCUUGCACAGGAGAUUUUGAUAUUGGUUACUGAAGAAUGAAGGCUGCACCAUAAUUAAUUUAACCCCUGUAAGAUUUCUCUCUGUGUGAAGUGGGAAGAUUUUGGAAGCUGAAUAAGGUCCAGUCUGCAAUCCUAUUCCCACUUACAAGGGAGUAAGCCCCAAUGAACUCAAAUGAACUUACUUCUUAGUAACAAUUGCACUGCAAGAAUAGUCAGUAUUUCAGGAACCAAAGUAGUUUAGGAUGCCCACAAAGGGUUGAUUUAAUGUUGGCAGCAGGUUUGGACUUAAACCAAAAUCGUAUUGUGGAAGAAUUUACUCUCAUGUACCAGUGGUGAACUAAUUUAUUGCUAUACCAAGAAGCAGCUUUAAAUCAGGUGUACAGAACCAGCUGAGGGACAGGAAGACUUAAAAGAUACUACUGGGGAUUCUGUGAACUCUUUCGUAGCGAAAGAAAGCUUUGAUCAAACCAACUGAGAAAGCUGCAUCAUAUUGAUGCUAAAAUAUUUACUAUCAGUUCAUUAAACACAUCUAUCAGACACAAACAAUGUCAUAUUGCCAGCGAGGUAGCUGAUGUGCUAGGAACGAAGGACACAAGACAGGAUGUUUGCGAGCAACAGGCAUGUUUAUAGCUGACCACCAAGUUUUGCUUAACCAGCCAGUGACAAAAUGAUCUGUAAGGAGCUUCAAGCAGAGAGAUGCCAUCAACAGGUAUGAAACAGUUAAUUUUGGU